GCCGAAGUGGCGGAAUUGGUAGACGCGCUAGGUUCAGGGUCUAGUGGGGGUUUCUCCGUGGGAGUUCGAGUUCGAGUCUCCCCUUCGGCACCA
This 93-nucleotide transfer RNA is filed under the name Deltaproteobacteria bacterium. Its description in RNAcentral is "tRNA-Leu". It matches the Rfam family "tRNA". Rfam says of the family: Transfer RNA (tRNA) molecules are approximately 80 nucleotides in length. Their secondary structure includes four short double-helical elements and three loops (D, anti-codon, and T loops). The record is from RNAcentral. Lineage: Bacteria; Pseudomonadati; Myxococcota; Myxococcia.